This 258-nucleotide unclassified non-coding RNA is filed under the name uncultured Chaetosphaeriales. RNAcentral describes it as "sequence contains 5.8S rRNA gene, ITS2, 28S rRNA gene". The stretch from base 1 to 52 matches the Rfam family "5.8S ribosomal RNA", at positions 103 to 154 of the family's 154-position model. Lineage: Eukaryota; Fungi; Ascomycota; Sordariomycetes. The record is from RNAcentral.
AACGCACAUUGCGCCCGCCAGUAUUCUGGCGGGCAUGCCUGUUCGAGCGUCAUUUCCACCCUCGGGCCCUGCCCGGUGUUGGGGACCUGCGCCCAGCGCAGCCCCCGAAAGACAGUGGCGGACUCGUCUGGUCCCGAGCGUAGUAACAUACGUCGCUCCGGGUUCUCCAGGCGGGCACGGCCAGAAGCCGCGUCCUCUCCGGAGGCGCACUUUAUCAAGGUUGACCUCGGAUCAGGUAGGAAUACCCGCUGAACUUAA